RNAcentral lists this ribosomal RNA (709 nucleotides) under uncultured bacterium. Its description in RNAcentral is "bacterial SSU rRNA". It matches the Rfam family "Bacterial small subunit ribosomal RNA", at positions 79 to 771 of the family's 1533-position model. The record is from RNAcentral.
UUCGGUCCUGAGUAAAGUGGCGCACGGGUGAGUAACACGUGGAUAAUCUGCCCUUAUGAUCGGGAUAACAGUCGGAAACGGCUGCUAAUACCGGAUACGCUCAAAAUGAACUUUUUGAGGAAAGGUGACCUCUGCUUGCAUGUUACCGUAUAAGGAUGAGUCCGCGUCCCAUUAGCUUGUUGGUGGGGUAAAGGCCUACCAAGGCAACGAUGGGUAGCCGAUUUGAGAGGAUGAUCGGCCACACUGGGACUGAAACACGGCCCAGACUCCUACGGGAGGCAGCAGUGGGGAAUAUUGCGCAAUGGGCGAAAGCCUGACGCAGCGACGCCGCGUGAGGGAUGAAGGUUUUCGGAUCGUAAACCUCUGUCAGAAGGGAAGAAACCGCACUGUGCUAAUCAGCAGUGCCUUGACGGUACCUUCAAAGGAAGCACCGGCUAACUCCGUGCCAGCAGCCGCGGUAAUACGGAGGGUGCAAGCGUUAAUCGGAAUUACUGGGCGUAAAGCGCACGUAGGCUGCUUUGUAAGUCAGGGGUGAAAUCCCACGGCUCAACCGUGGAACUGCCUUUGAUACUGCUUAGCUUGAAUCCGGGAGAGGGUGGCGGAAUUCCAGGUGUAGGAGUGAAAUCCGUAGAUAUCUGGAGGAACAUCAGUGGCGAAGGCGGCCACCUGGACCGGUAUUGACGCUGAGGUGCGAAAGCGUGGGGAGCAA